Molecule: long non-coding RNA, 208 nt
Filed under: Mytilus galloprovincialis (Mediterranean mussel)
Lineage: Eukaryota; Metazoa; Mollusca; Bivalvia; Mytilida; Mytilidae
Source: RNAcentral
CAUAAAUAAAAAGAAAAUUUCUUCAAACAUUUUUUGAGAGGAUUAAUAUUCAACAGCAUAAUGAAUUGCUCAAAGGCAAAAAAAAAAUUUUUUAAGUUCAUUAGACCACAUUCAUUCUGUGUCAGAAACCUAUGCUGUGUCAACUAUUUAAUUACAAUCCAAAUUUAGAGCUGAAUCCAGCUUGAAUGUUGUGUCCGUACUUGCCCCA